ACGAUGGGUAACCGGCCUGAGAGGGUGAACGGUCACACUGGAACUGAGACACGGUCCAGACUCCUACGGGAGGCAGCAGUGGGGAAUAUUGCACAAUGGAGGGAACUCUGAUGCAGCGACGCCGCGUGAGUGAUGAAGGAAUUCGUUUCGUAAAACUCUGUUCUAUGGGAAGAAAAGGACUGUACCAUAGGAGAAAGCUCCGGCUAAAUACGUGCCAGCAGCCGCGGUAAUACGUAUGGAGCGAGCGUUGUCCGGAAUUAUUGGGCGUAAAGGGUGCGCAGGCGGCUUUACAAGUUGGAUGUGAAAUAUUGUGGCUCAACCACAAACGUGCAUCCAAAACUGCAAAGCUUGAGUUAAGGAGAGGUAAGUGGAAUUCCUGGUGUAGCGGUGGAAUGCGUAGAUAUCAGGAGGAAUACCGGUGGCGAAGGCGACUUACUGGACUUAAACUGACGCUCAGGCACGAAAGCGUGGGGAGCAAACAGGAUUAGAUACCCUGGUAGUCCACGCCGUAAACGAUGAGUGCUAGGUGUUGGGGGUCAAACCUCGGUGCCGCAAGCAAACGCAAUAAGCACUCCGCCUGGGGAGUACGUGCACAAGCAUGAAACUCAAAGGAAUUGACGGGGACCCGCACAAGCAGCGGAGCAUGUGGUUUAAUUCGUGGCUACGCGAAGAACCUUACCAGGGCUUGACAUAUAGUACAAAGAGCAGCGAAAUGGUGACAUCAAGCGAAUCUCAAAAAGCCGAUCCCAGUUCGGAUUGUACUCUGCAACUCGAGUACAUGAAGUCGGAGUUGCUAGUAAUCGUAGAUCAGAAUGCUACGGUGAAUGCGUUCCCGGGUCUUGUACACACCGCCCGUCACACCAUGGAAGUUGGCAAUACCCGAAGCCGAUGGCCUAACCGCAAGGGAGGAGUCGUCGAAGGUAGGGUCAAUGACUGGGGUGAAGUCGUAACAAGGUAGCCGUAUCGGAAGGUGCGGCUGGAUCACCU
This 987-nucleotide ribosomal RNA is filed under the name human gut metagenome. RNAcentral's name for it is "bacterial SSU rRNA". It matches the Rfam family "Bacterial small subunit ribosomal RNA", at positions 276 to 1528 of the family's 1533-position model. The record is from RNAcentral.